Molecule: transfer RNA, 73 nt
Organism: Arcanobacterium sp. S3PF19
Lineage: Bacteria; Bacillati; Actinomycetota; Actinomycetes; Actinomycetales; Actinomycetaceae
Rfam family: tRNA
About the family: Transfer RNA (tRNA) molecules are approximately 80 nucleotides in length.
Source: Rfam
GCGCCAGUAGCUCAAUGGAUAGAGCACUUGACUACGGAUCAAGAGGUUGGGGGUUCGAGUCCCUUCUGGCGCG